Pelobates cultripes (western spadefoot toad) is the source of this 115-nucleotide non-coding RNA. Lineage: Eukaryota; Metazoa; Chordata; Amphibia; Anura; Pelobatidae. The record is from the annotation of a GenBank genome assembly.
GUGUGUGUGUGUGUGUGUGAGUUUACUGUAUACUUACUGUAAAUUCCUAAAAGGACCAAACAUACCAAUAGUAAAUUAUACAGUAAGUAUACAGUAAACUUACACAAGCUCACUG